CUUGAGAAGAAUACACAUCAGCCAUGAUGAAGCAUGUUGAAAACAAACUUCUGAAAAUGACUCUUAUGAAGGACUAGCAAUGAGUACUUGGGCGGCAGAGUUUUGUUACAUCAAGAGCCUUGCAGAAAAACCUGGAGAAGCAAAGCGUCCCAGACAAUGCUAUGGAAGAUGGAUUUGCUGGAGACUGAUAAGAUCCGUCUUGGCACAAGGAAAUUGAUGGCAGCUCCUAACCUGCUUCUGUUGUGGAGGAUGUGGGCUUUGGCCAAAUCUUUCCAAAUAAGUGUAGCCAACUCUCAUGAAAUUGUUUUCCUUAAAGCCCCAGCUCCUGGGGUCAAGUGGAUAUAUGAUGAUUUCAGCCUUAAUUCUUAAAGAGAAAAAUCAAGGCUUCAUGAGAAACAUCAAUGCAAUGAACCAGAUGCUGGAUCAUCCAUUUUAAACAUCAUCUGCAGCUGUUUCCAAAAGCUCUGUGAGCUGCAAAGCUGCCUGGUUGUGAACUGGGGUUCUCUGGAGAUAUCAAGAUGGAAUUCCACAUCCUUUAUUACAGAAAGCCUUGUGUAGAAAGUGAUCAGAGACCACUGCUGUACUCAAACAGGACAGAGUCUGAGGGGAGCCUGUGAUUCAAAUUCUUGCAAGAAGAAGAGUAUAAAGAACAAAAAGAAAACAACACAUACCCCAGCAUGUCUUUAAUACAAAAUUCUUAAUUUCAACAAGAAAGCAAAUAGAAGCCUGCACCUUCUCCAUGGAAAAAACUUCUUAAAGGAAGGAAAGUUUGUGUGGCUUUCAUAAUCCGGUCUUGGGGAAUGUUUUAUUUUGUUCAUAUUUUACCUUAUCCCUGUUGGCUGCUUGUGAGAUCUGAUUGAAAAUUCCAUGAGCAGGUCACAUACCAGAAGGAAACUUAAAACUCUACCUUUUGGUUUUGCUGGCCUGACUGACUUUCCUCAUAAGGAUCCUGUUUGUUCUUUUUUAAUGCAAGUAGGAUCCUCUUGUAUAUAGAGUCAUAAAACAGUGAGUACAGGUUCUUCCACGGUACAAGUUCUUCAUGACUCUCCUCGUUCACUCAGAUUCUAAGAAUUCAAACAUUUUUGAACAUAUUGGAUUCUUUACCAGUUCCAGCCAUUGAUCUACUGCCAGUUUUCACUUCUCCAGCUCUGCUAAAAAAGCCAACUGUUCUGAGGUUCUGCCAUCAAGAAUCUGUACCUUGGCAUCCAAACUGAGUUGUGUGUUGUGCUCCAAAGCAAUCAAUUUAGUGGUCUAAGUACAGCACUGGGAGCCAGGAAUUCCUGCAUUCCAAUCUGCACUCUCAGAAGUUCUCUCUCUUGCCUUGGCCAAAUUACUUAGACAGAGAGGUUCAUUUUCCCCCAUAGCUACUGUAGAAAAGUAACCUACAUCAGACAUGUAGUGAGGAUUAAAUAAUAUUUUUAAAAUGCUUGAAAGAUAUUGUAUAUGUGCCAGUCCUUUAUUGACAUGGCUUCAGAUUUCAGCUGCAAUUGAGAAGAAUAACUUACACUCAAAUUACAGAGCUUAAAGAUUUGAUUUAUCACUGAUGGAGGUCGCCAUCAGAUCUUACCUCUUUUUAAAAAGGCAUUUGCCUUUCUUUCAGGGUAGUCAUGGCUCUAAGUCGGUAUGGGAGCUUUUUAGUCUAUAAGGCAGAGGUGGGCAAACUAGGGCCCGCAGGCCACAUCCAGCCCGUGGGACCAUCCUGCCCGGCCCCCGAGCUCCUGGCCUGGGAAGCUACCCCCCAGUUCCCCCGCUUGUCCUCCUUUCCCCGCAGCCUCCGCUCGCUUGCUCCGGCGCAAUGCUCUGGGCGGUGGGGCUGUGAGCUCCUGGGGCAGUGCAGUUGCAGAGCCCAGCCUGACCCAGUGCUCUGUGCUGCGUGGUAGCGGCGGCAGCGUGGCCCAGUUCCAGCUGGGCGGUGCGGCUGUAGCACCGCCAGCCACUGGCACUCCAGGCAGUGCGGUAAGGGGGCACAGAGCUGGGGGGUUGGA
This is a long non-coding RNA of Malaclemys terrapin pileata, 1985 nucleotides long. RefSeq lists it as uncharacterized. The transcript is spliced from 3 exons. NCBI's taxonomy places the organism in Eukaryota, Metazoa, Chordata, Testudines, Emydidae. The record is from RefSeq and is a predicted model, not a curated record.